RNAcentral lists this ribosomal RNA (1343 nucleotides) under uncultured bacterium. RNAcentral describes it as "16S ribosomal RNA". It matches the Rfam family "Bacterial small subunit ribosomal RNA", at positions 28 to 1378 of the family's 1533-position model. The record is from RNAcentral.
GACGAACGCUGGCGGCGUGCUUAACACAUGCAAGUCGAACGGAAAGGCCCUGCUUUUGUGGGGUGCUCGAGUGGCGAACGGGUGAGUAACACGUGAGUAACCUGCCCUUGACUUUGGGAUAACUUCAGGAAACUGGGGCUAAUACCGGAUAGGAGCUCCUGCUGCAUGGUGGGGGUUGGAAAGUUUCGGCGGUUGGGGAUGGACUCGCGGCUUAUCAGCUUGUUGGUGGGGUAGUGGCUUACCAAGGCUUUGACGGGUAGCCGGCCUGAGAGGGCGACCGGCCACAUUGGGACUGGGAUACGGCCCAGACUCCUACGGGAGGCAGCAGUGGGGAAUAUUGCACAAUGGGCGGAAGCCUGAUGCAGCAACGCCGCGUGCGGGAUGACGGCCUUCGGGUUGUAAACCGCUUUCGCCUGUGACGAAGCGUGAGUGACGGUAAUGGGUAAAGAAGCACCGGCUAACUACGUGCCAGCAGCCGCGGUGAUACGUAGGGUGCGAGCGUUGUCCGGAUUUAUUGGGCGUAAAGGGCUCGUAGGUGGUUGAUCGCGUCGGAAGUGUAAUCUUGGGGCUUAACCCUGAGCGUGCUUUCGAUACGGGUUGACUUGAGGAAGGUAGGGGAGAAUGGAAUUCCUGGUGGAGCGGUGGAAUGCGCAGAUAUCAGGAGGAACACCAGUGGCGAAGGCGGUUCUCUGGGCCUUUCCUGACGCUGAGGAGCGAAAGCGUGGGGAGCGAACAGGCUUAGAUACCCUGGUAGUCCACGCUGUAAACGGUGGGUACUAGGUGUGGGGUCCAUUCCACGGGUUCCGUGCCGUAGCUAACGCUUUAAGUACCCCGCCUGGGGAGUACGGCCGCAAGGCUAAAACUCAAAGGAAUUGACGGGGCCCCGCACAAGCGGCGGAGCAUGCGGAUUAAUUCGAUGCAACGCGUAGAACCUUACCUGGGUUUGACAUGGAUCGGGAGCGCUCAGAGAUGGGUGUGCCUCUUUUGGGGUCGGUUCACAGGUGGUGCAUGGCUGUCGUCAGCUCGUGUCGUGAGAUGUUGGGUUAAGUCCCGCAACGAGCGCAACCCUUGUUCACUGUUGCCAGCACGUUAUGGUGGGGACUCAGUGGAGACCGCCGGGGUCAACUCGGAGGAAGGUGGGGAUGACGUCAAGUCAUCAUGCCCCUUAUGUCCAGGGCUUCACGCAUGCUACAAUGGCUGGUACAGAGAGUGGCGAGCCUGUGAGGGUGAGCGAAUCUCGGAAAGCCGGUCUCAGUUCGGAUUGGGGUCUGCAACUCGACCUCAUGAAGUCGGAGUCGCUAGUAAUCGCAGAUCAGCAACGCUGCGGUGAAUACGUUCCCGGG